RNAcentral lists this transfer RNA (66 nucleotides) under bovine gut metagenome. It matches the Rfam family "tRNA", at positions 5 to 66 of the family's 71-position model. Rfam says of the family: Transfer RNA (tRNA) molecules are approximately 80 nucleotides in length. Their secondary structure includes four short double-helical elements and three loops (D, anti-codon, and T loops). The record is from RNAcentral.
AAGUGGCUCAGUUGGUAGAGCAGCUGAUUCGUAAUCAGCAGGUCGUGGGUUCAAGUCCCAUCUUCA